This 25083-nucleotide long non-coding RNA is filed under the name Theobroma cacao (cacao). Its description in RNAcentral is "long non-coding RNA (TCAC_LNC000283)". The stretch from base 20716 to 20822 matches the Rfam family "Plant small nucleolar RNA R71". The record is from RNAcentral. Lineage: Eukaryota; Viridiplantae; Streptophyta; Magnoliopsida; Malvales; Malvaceae.
AUUUGUCGUGUGGGUUAAUCAAGGAAGGCAUUUCAAUGUCUUCUGUCGUUAGUGGGCGUUUGACCAAUGGGCCGCUUUAAUUGUUUUCUUUUUAGGUCGUCUAGAUGUUGUUUGGUCAUUGCUUGGGUCAUUUGCAUGAGCAGCGUGGAGGGUUGACUUGGAGUCCGCCGGUGUUGUCCUCUCCACAUGAAUCCCCUAUUGGUUUUGUUCCUCAGGUUGGCUUGGGUCUAACUAAUGAUUUUCCAUCGUUUCAUUUUCCCUCUUUGCUUUGUCUGACGAUGUUUUUAAGCUUGCCCUUGGGUCGACUGUUGAAAGUGGAGGGGGUGAUGAAUUUUUAAUAUUUCUUUGUGGAUUUUCGUUAAAAGGUUUCCAUUUUUAGGAUUUAGGGUUGCUUUAUGAUUUUGGGGAUUUGACACUAGCCCAUGAAUUUCGUAUGGCAAGUUUACGUGUUUGGUCUCAAAUGGAUGAUGUCUCUGGCUAUUUGGCCCUGUCAUAUCUCUUACUGUUCUUGACUUGCUACUGUCUGACCUUUCUAGAUUAUCGAUUUCUCACUUUUUUUUUUUUUUUUGCAUUCUCAAACUUAUUUCAUUUGGGUUCUUACUAUUUAUGUGUUUUUGUACUGCGUUUCUUUUCUUAACUUCACUUCGGCUCUUAGAGGUUCUCAGAUUCAAGUAUUCAGUUGACAAUUGUCUCUCAAGGGUCUUCUUGCUUUUUGUUUACUAUCUGAAAUUAAUUGUUUUCUAUUUCCUCUUUUGUUUUUUUUUUUUGAAACGAUUGUUUACGAUUAUUUUUUUUUUCAGUUUCCAGCAUAACUUGAUGAAUCGAUUAUGUGCUUUCAUAUUUUUCUAAGAUUUUCGCAGAUCAUUUAUGCUUUAUCUUUUUAAACAUGUUAAAUGGUUUGUUUAAAAUACUUACUGUUGGUACGAAAUAGAAUGUACGGAUAUUUAGACUUUCGAUGCUAAGCUUAAUAGAGUGAACAUUGAAAAUAUUCUUUGAUGAAGGUAGUUGUUAUUAAUAAAAGCAUCAUUUUUUAUUUUUUUGAUUCUAAAUAUGCUGAACAAUAUUCUUGACUGUAUAUUUAUUUUGUCUUCGACAUGGUGAUUUGUUGAAAAUACAAUAUGUAUAUGUGCAAAGCAUUUAACUUGAAACUCAUUAUAUAUAAAAUGACUAUACUGUUUGAUGAAGUACUCUCAUGGUUUGUUUUUCGUUAAAGCAUCAUAGUUGUCGGUUUACAUUUUUUUCUGUGUUCAUCAUCAUUUUGAUUAUUGUAUUUGAUGUUUUUAGAUGUGCAGUGCUGGUUGGUCUUUUUUUUUUAUUUUUUGAUUGGUUGUCUCAAUUAAUUUCUUGAUAUCUCUUUUUUCCACAGGGUUUCUAUCUUGCCAUCUCAGUUGUGCGAAAUAUUGUAAGUAAAUAAGUUUUUUAAAUUUAGUUUAGCAUCAUUUGUUUCAUUUUUUGCUGUAAUGUUUUAAAAUGAUUAGAUAUUAUGCUUUUUUCCUCUUUGUUGACCAAAGGUAAUAGUUUGGGUUGUCAUUAAUGGUCCAAUUUUGGUCAGAAAUGAAUCUUUUUAUUCGUUAAGGAAAGGAUUGGUCAUCAAAAAAGAUUGAUGAGUUGUGUAUGAUCUUUUCUUCCUUUAGCGAUGGGAAUGAUAUUUUCUCUAGCCAAAAUUUGGACCAUCUCAUAAUAGCACAACCAGUGUUGAUGUAAGUAAAAGAUAUCAAAUAUUUCUAUGUUUGCUUUUCUUUAUCGAAUGAAACAUAAUUCGUUGCAUUGCACAAGGUGUAGCUGGAAACUGUAAUGUGUUUUGAUUUGAUAAAAUUUUGAAUUACAGCCUUUUAUUUCCUGCUAUGUAGUCUUUAUUUAUUGAUGGUUUUUUUUUAAAUUGAGUGUCUACAGUAUUGCUUGGUCAGGUUAUUAUAACUUUGAUGCAAUAUUUUUCUAUUAUCUUACUGUUUAUGCUUGGUUUUUGUUCUAUCUGUAGUUUCCCCUUACAUUUUACUCAUGCACAAGUUAAAUAUACAUAAACAACAUAGACAAAGGAGGUUAAAAAUAUUAAGAGCAAAAAAAUUAUCCAGAUUGAGUAAAAAUUAUAAUACACAAUAUCACAAUCGAAUGAAUAUCCUAUUUGCUCAAAACUUCCUAUUAGCUCAUCAUUUCCACCCAUGGGGUUCUGCAUUCAAUGUUAUUCAUGUUCCUAUUAGAGGACAUGUGAUAAUUCAUUCGAUUGUUAAUGUUUAUGGUGAACUGGAAAUAACAUUGGUUGAACCUAUUAUUCAUUUUUCUGGUGUUGGUUUCCCAAACAUUGGUUUCCACAUAGUGCCCACUAAUAUUCCGAGUUUCCCAAUAACUAGUUGGCCUAAUUAUCUUGUAGGGGACAUUAGGUUGUUGAGUGAUAGUUUUUAUUCAAAUCAUCAGUUUAGUCAUUAUCAAGUUUCACAAGGUUGCUUGAGUGACUCUUUUCAUGGUAGUAGCCUCGAUAAACUUUUCCUCUAACACAUUAAAAAUAUUAUUAUCCUAUGAUAAAUAAAUAAUAUUUUGAAAGUGUGUAAUAAGAUCACAACAAAUAGUUAAUUCAAUUUUUUGUGCACAAAUUUAUGAAGGUCACAUGCAAGAUGUUCCUUGCCAAUGUGAAAACUAUACCCUUGAAAAUAAUCUUCUAGUGGAGGAAAAUAUCUCAAUGCUCGAAUGUAAGUUUAGACGCAUUGUCAAAUCAAUAUUUCAUAUCAUUCUAGUCUCUUUUGUAAAUGUGAUCAUUAACACAUGUUUAUUUUUGUUCAUCAUGCAUAUAAUAGGAAAUCAGAUGACCAUUUAGUCCUUCGGAAGCCCUAAUUAUAUAUAUCUUUUUUUCAUCGCUUACAUGUGGUAUGAAGAAAGGUCAAAUGUAUCAAGAGAAAAUAGGAAUCCUACUUUUAGUCUUUGUUGUCAAUAAAGUAUAGUUCGAAUACCAGAUUUUAGAGAAACACCCCCUUCCUAGACACCUUACUUACUGAUGGUACAAAUGCUAGAUGUCAAAAGUUUAGACAAAACAUAAGAAUGUAUAACAUGAUGUUUCAAUUCACUUCAUUAAGAACUCAAAUUGAUAAGUUAAUCAACAAUAGGGAGGUCCUGACAUAUUCAAGAUCAACAAUCAAAUACAUCAUAAGAUAGGUUCUUUCAUACCCAUAUUUAGAAACAAACCAAAAUUCACUCAACUUUACAUUUAUGAUAUUGAAAAUGAAAUCUAAAAUAGGUUAGCAAAGUACAACAAUGAUCUUGACAGAUCAAUUGUUGAAGGUCUGAUAAAAAUGCUUGAUGAUAAUAAUCAAAUUCUGAAAAUCUUUAAAAUGGCUAAGGAUAGGUUAAGAACUAUAAACUUUGCACCCCUUCGACUUAAACUUAUAGCAUCCAGAGAUUAGUCACACCUAAAUUAUAAAAUGCCAACUACAACUAAAAUAGCUGGUCUAAUAAUAGGUGAUUUAGGAGAAUAUGAUGGCCAUAAAGAUAUUAUAGUUGAUCAUGUCACUGAAGGUUUAAACCGAAUUAGUGAACUGCACCUUUCAUUCAUGACCAUGCAAUAUCCUCUUCUUUUCUCAUAUGGAGAAUAUGGUUAUACACCUAAUAUAAGCUACGUUCAUGCACUCGUUAGGAGAAAACCAAAACGAAAAAAUGUAACAAUGUGAAAAUAUAUUAUGCAUACAUAAUUCAACAACGAUCAACUUUUAAAAGUACAUUGUUAAGGGUUUCAACAAUUUAUAGUUGAUGCAUAUGCUAUUAUUGAAGAAGAAAUAUUAUUAUUUAUAAGAAACAAUAAAAAAAAUUAAGAGCUAAAUUAUAUUAAGGUUUAAAAGAUGCUUUUGCAAAAGGAGAUAAUAAUGCAAGCAAUGUAUGAAAAUGCAUAAUGCUACCUUCAAGUUUUAUUGGAAAUCCUAGAUACUUAUUACAAAACUAUCAAGAUUCCAUGGCAAUUUGUAGAUGUUGCAGUUGUCUUGAUAUAACAUCUAGAGUUUUCAAGAUUAGAUUUCGUCAUCUAAUGGAUGAAUUGAUGAAGAACAAACACUUUGGUGUUGCCAUAGCUGGUAUGUCAAACCCUGCUUUGUAAAAUAAUUAUAAUGUCAUUCACAUGCUCGAUAGAAUGUUUGUAUAUUUAGGAAGUUCGAGAAAUCGUUAAAAGAUGAUAUUACCCCUAAUAAUAUCAUUAAGUCGAUCAAGCCUCGAACUAGUUCAAAUAGGAAUUUUAAGAUGAAAUUAAGAGUUUCACAGUUCAGAGAUGACUCAAAAUGGUAAUUAGGAGUUCGAGGAUCAAUUCGGAGUCAAACCGGAAUUUUCACUAUCUAGGGACAAAAUUGUAAUUUUUCCACCCGCGGACAAAAUUUGAGAUUUGAAGAGAAUUUAAAUCACAUUUGACAAAUUGGAGAAUGGUAUGAGUAUAAGGGAUGAAAAAUAUGUCUAUGGGUAAUUUUUCAGUUUUUGAGAUAAAAAUGUAAUUUUUCACUUUACAGGGGUAAAAGUGUAAUUUUUAAAAAUUUACUUCACCAAAAUUUUGGAAAAGUCUAAAAAUUUCAUGGAAGACAUGGAUAAGUGAAGAGGAUUGAGUGGUAGAAAAAGAAAGUCAAAAAGAUGGCUAGAAAAAAAUAAAAUAAUAAAAUAUUCAAAAGGUAAAUAAAAUAAUAAUAUUUUAUUAAGCCUAUUAAAAGGCUUGAAAAUUCCAGAAUUCUUCAUUGGGAGGGUCAGCCAAAACCAGCAGGAGAGAGAGAGAAAUAAGAACAAACCCUAGAGUGAGAAAAUUCAAAGAAAAAGUGUGAUUUUUAAAGGAAUCAAGUGUUUAAAAAUAUGAUUUUUCAAGCUUAGCUUAAGAUUUAUCAUUUCCAUGCAUUUUUCAUCAUUUUUCAUGGUUGAAUCAUGUGAUUUGAGGAUGAAUUCAAUUCUGAAAAAAUGGGUUAGGAGAGAGAAACUUGUUAGAUUAAUUUGAUUCUAAGUUAUGUUAGUGUUUUAAGUUAGUUUAACAUAUUUAGGAACAAAACAAUAAGAAAAGAAUUUAUUUUCCUCCAUUAUUAUUAUUGGCUGAAUUUUUUAGGGGAAUAUUGGCUGUUGAUCUUGAUGUUUAUUUGAGGAAUUAUGAUGAAUAAUGAUAAAUUAUGAGCUUAGAAAAAUAAUGAAAAUUUUCAUAGUAAAAAUAUGAAUUUUUACCCACUAGGGGUAUUUUCGUAAUUUACUAUCGAGACUAAUAAUUUGUACCACAUUGAGGAAAAUUUGGGUGCAAUUGAGGUAUAGAAACUGAAAAAAAUUAAUUUGAGAUUAAAUUGGACGCGUUAGUAAUUUAAUCGGGUAAUAGGCCCAAUUAGGUCAGCACCGCAUUUAAGCGAUAGUCGGAUAAGUUGCAUGUCAUAUCAUGCAUAUAUACCGAGCCCAAAUUGAUUUUAUAAUGGUCAAACGUUGAUGUGGUGAAUUAUGUAUUUUACAUUGUGGAUAGGUAGUGAGCAAAUUACACUGGUAAAAGUACAGAAAUUAUCUUGAAGACUGGGAUUAGGAGUACAUCGACUCCUAGAACUGUGAGUGGACAAUUUAUCGUCUUAAAUAUCUAGAGUAAUUAUACUUGUUUGAUGUUUUUAUUGAAUGGUGAGCUUAAAUUAUAAAAUAUUAUGUUUUCCAAUUAAAAUAUUUUUUUAUAAAAAUGAAAUUUAUACUGGUUUUCAAAUCAAAUAUUGUUUUGAGAAAAUUGAGUAUAUGAAGACUGUGUUGAAAUUUAUGAUUUUAUAUGUUAUUGAAAUUGGGGCUUAUGACACUAUGGUAGCAUGAUGGCUAAAUUUUUGGGGUUGGCAUGAAAUAUAUGAAUAGUUUUGGAUUAGUCUCGGUAGAUUGGAUUACAUUUUAUUCGUCAUGUUAUGUUACUAGAAUUUUUAUGUGUCUGGUGGUAUAUUAAACGGUCACUGCAGUGGUGAGGGUUUCCGUGGACUACCUAUGAGAGGGGUACGGUAACCCAAUUAUAUAGUUACUUCCGGGAUGAGAUAUUAGGUGAAGUAUCUCCUGAGGUAUGAUUUGAGUGCACCUCACGUUCGAGCCACCACGUGAGAGUGAGACUCAGCCAAUGCCAAUGAACGAUUGUAUCAAAUGUGAAAACAUGUUUAUGGGUAUGGGUCAUUGAACAGCCUUGGCGGUCUCAGUGGGAUACCUUGACGAAGGUACCCGCGAGAAUGAUAUUGGCAGGGGCCAAGUUUAAAAAAAUUCAUAAGCCUGGAAAUUUUGAUGAAAAGAAAUUGUUUGGAAUAGAUUGAAACGAAUUUUGUAUUAUGAACAUUAUUGAGAUAUAACAUUUUUAUAUUGUCUUCAUUUACUCGGCUUUAGAUGCUUUUGAUGGUAAUUGUUUACUCACUGAGAUUAUGAACCCUUCUUCCUAUCCAUUUUUCAAGCUCAGAACAGUUUGUUGAUAGUUGAUUAAGACGAGAAUUAAUCUCGGAGUUGCAUCAUAGGAAGUAAAGGUUCGUAGCUCUACACCUUCUUGGUUAGUUGGGGGUCCACAUGUCACUGUAAACGAAAUUUCAUAUUUUAAUUAUCUUUAUUACUAUAUGAAUAAAUUUAUUUUACUCUUACGCUACAAAGUUAUUUUAGGAAAACUUUAAAAAUAUUGUGUUUUAAGAAAAUAGAAUAUUUUAUUUAAUAUUUUUAUUAUAUUCAAAUAGCUAUAAUUUUACUUUAAACGAAUGUUUUAGACUUCAAAAUUUAAUUUCGAAAUUCGAAAAAAAAUGUAAUAUGUAAGUGAAAACACAUAUUUCAUGAUAUAGCGAAUAAAAUGUAAUCCAGUCUACCGAGACCAAUCCAAAACUAUUCAUAUAUUUCAUGCCAACCCCAAAAAUUUAGCCAUCAUGCUACCAUAGUGUCAUAAGCCCCAAUUUCAAUAACAUAUAAAAUCAUAAAUUUCAACACAGUCUCCAUAUACUCAAUUUUUCCAAAACAAUAUUUGAUUUCAAAACCAGUAUAAAUUUCAUUUUUAUAAAAAAAUAUUUUAAUUGAAAAACAUAAUAUUUUAUAAUUUAAGCUCACCAUUCAAUAAAAACAUCAAAUAAGUAUAAUUACUCUAGAUAUUUAAGACGAUAAAUUGUUCACUCACAGUUCUAGGAGUCGAUGUACUCUUAAUCCCAAUCUUCAAGACAAUUUCUGUACUUUUAUCAGUGUAAUUUGCUCACCACCUAUUCACAGUGUACAAUACAUAAUUCACCACAUCAAUGCUUGAUCAUUAUAAAAUCAAUUCAGGCUCGGUAUAUAUGCAUGAUAUGACAUGCAACUUAUCCGACUACCGCUUAAAUGCGGUGUUGACCUAAUUCGGCCUAUUACAUGAUUAAAUUACUAACGCGUCCAAUUUAAUCUUAAAUUAAUUUUUUUCAGUUUUUAUACCUCAAUUGCACCCAAAUUGACUUAAUGUUCCUUAGUGUGGUGCAAAUUAUCAGUCUCGAUAGUAAAUUACGAAAAUACCCCUAGUGGGUAAAAAUUCGUAUUUUUGCUCCGAAAAUUCUCAUUAUUUUUCUAGGCUCAUAAUUUAUCAUUAUUCAUCAUAAUUUCUCAAAUAAACAUCAAGAUCAGCAGUCAAUAUUUCCCUAGAAAAUUCAGUCAAUAAUGGUAAUGGAGGAAAAUAAAUUCUUUUCUUAUUGUUUUGUUCUUAAAUAUGCUAAACUAACUUAAAACACUAACAUAACUUAGAAUCAAAUUAAUCUAACAAGUUUCUCUCUCCUAACCCAUUUUUUCAGUAUUGAAUUCAUCCUCAAAUCACAUGAUUCAACCAUGAAAAAUGAUGAAAAAUGUAUGGAAAUGAUAAAUCUUAAGCUAAGCUUGAAAAAUCAUACCUUUAAACACUUGAUUCCUUGAAAAAUCACACUUUUUCUUUGAAUUUUCUCACUCUAGGGUUUGUUCUUAUUUUUCUCUCUCUCCUGCUGGUUUUGGCUGACCAUCCCAAUGAAGAAUUCUGGAAUUUUCAAACCUUUUAAUAGGCUUAAUAAAAUAUUAUUAUUUUAUUUAUCUUUUGAAUAUUUUAUUAUUUUAUUUUUUUCUAGCCAUCUUUUUGACUUUCUUUUUCUACCACUCAAUCCUCUUCACUUAUCCAUGUCUUCCAUGAAAUUUNNNNNNNNNNNNNNNNNNNNNNNNNNNNNNNNNNNNNNNNNNNNNNNNNNNNNNNNNNNNNNNNNNNNNNNNNNNNNNNNNNNNNNNNNNNNNNNNNNNNNNNNNNNNNNNNNNNNNNNNNNNNNNNNNNNNNNNNNNNNNNNNNNNNNNNNNNNNNNNNNNNNNNNNNNNNNNNNNNNNNNNNNNNNNNNNNNNNNNNNNNNNNNNNNNNNNNNNNNNNNNNNNNNNNNNNNNNNNNNNNNNNNNNNNNNNNNNNNNNNNNNNNNNNNNNNNNNNNNNNNNNNNNNNNNNNNNNNNNNNNNNNNNNNNNNNNNNNNNNNNNNNNNNNNNNNNNNNNNNNNNNNNNNNNNNNNNNNNNNNNNNNNNNNNNNNNNNNNNNNNNNNNNNNNNNNNNNNNNNNNNNNNNNNNNNNNNNNNNNNNNNNNNNNNNNNNNNNNNNNNNNNNNNNNNNNNNNNNNNNNNNNNNNNNNNNNNNNNNNNNNNNNNNNNNNNNNNNNNNNNNNNNNNNNNNNNNNNNNNNNNNNNNNNNNNNNNNNNNNNNNNNNNNNNNNNNNNNNNNNNNNNNNNNNNNNNNNNNNNNNNNNNNNNNNNNNNNNNNNNNNNNNNNNNNNNNNNNNNNNNNNNNNNNNNNNNNNNNNNNNNNNNNNNNNNNNNNNNNNNNNNNNNNNNNNGGGUAUUAUCUUUUAUUCGAUGCUCAACUUCUCCUGUUAUCUCCUUUAUAGGGAAUCUUGAGUUUCUCCUCGUAUUUAUUUCCAACUCAACUUGAAUACUUCACUUAUAUCUAUUGUUACCCUUUAGAAGUUUGAUCAGCAAUAAUCCUCUCGAUCAUAAGUCUUUAUGUCAUUUAGGAUUAUACUAAGUGGUUUCCCAAGAUAAAGAGUUUACGUAGCCUCCUGUCUAUAAUUAGUGCUGCAGUCACUGACUAUCAACAAGACUCUACAUCAACUCCACUAUUUCGUUGUUUACCAUAAGAGUUACUUCAUUUAAUCACUUUUCAUUUAACUGAGUUAAUACAAGAAUUAUAAAUCUUCUUAGUAAUCCUUUAUAAUACUCAUUUUCUAUGCCACCGUCGUAAUCCUUUAUUCACAAAUUCGUUACUUAACAUUGAUGUCCCUUCUCAUUAAUCUCUCAUCCUCUUUAUUUCUUAAGAUUUGACUUUGAUCAAUACAUUAUUGAUCUUAAUACCCCACAAGGUAAUUUAUUUCAAUGUAGCCGUUGGAAUCUACUUAAUUAAAACAAAUCUUUCACUUUUGGAGUUACUACCUUAGUCAUUCUCAACGGCUUGGCUCCUUUUUGAGUCUAUACCACAAUUAGCAAAGUAAAUUUUCUAUCACAAAUGCAUGAUCGGGAUACUGACCCCAACAUAUUCAUAUUAUCUAUGUGAUAUGCUACCGUCAUCCCUUAUGGCAUAUUUCAUUACCUUUAUUCACAUAUCUUUACCAUGAUAAUUUCUCAAAUAAAUUAAAACUUGAGAAAACCAUACUUUACAAUUUAUAUCUCCCUCUAUAAGCAUCUUCAAAAAUCCUCAUGUCCUAUGUCCCACCUUAGGACAGUCUUCCCAUAUGGUUCAAUAGAUCACAACUUCAUCACACGCCUAAGGAUUCAUUAUUGAUAGUAUCCCACUAUUCUCAUAGUCGAAACCGAUUAUAUUCCUCAUCUUAAAAUUUUACGGUAUCACUUUCUAAUUUCCUCCAUACUCAAAUUUAUAAUCCUUAACUUAACCCCGUUAACUGGUGAUCAAUUCAUAGUACUGCAAGGUUUAAUCGUUAUUAAAUCUAAUAAUUGCUGGAACCAUUAAUGGCUUUCUAUUCCAACCUUCAGUACUUAUUUAAAAUAAUCAAUCUUGUCACUAAGAUAAUUAUUCAUCCUCAAUACUUAUAUUACUAAUCUACCUUUGUCAUACUAAAAGAUUUUUAUACUCCUUCUGUCCUUUAAAUAACUAUUCCAUCAUCCAUUUAUAUUAUACAAGACAAAAGUCAACUCUUAAGACUUUCAUACAAAGGAUUAUUAUCCUUCUUAUACUGCAUCUGCCUAGGAUUACAUUAUUACAAGCUUCAACAAGGCACUAAACAUCUUUAGGAUCAUUAUCAUCUUGAUCCUUUUUCGAGUCUAUUUUAACUUUUCUCUUUUUCUUCUCUUGCCAUUUACUUACAUCGCUCCCACAGCCUGGGGGAGAAUGUCUAACGAACGAUGCCGAUGUUUUCCCACUAUAAUAUUCUUCUUCUGCUAUCCUCAUUUUCUUCCUCCCUUUGGCAUAUUCCUCAAUUCCUUUUAAGAGAAAGUUUCUCAUGCCUUCAUUUACGUCAUUACUAUCAACGCUCUCAUCAGUCUCACUAUCACUAGGACUUUCCCUUAUUUUAACUUUCGUUUCCAAAUCUGAUGGAGCUCAAUUAGUAGAUACUCUAAAUGGAUCUCCUUCUAGAUUAUUAAGUUCAAGACACCAUCGACUUUCAGCAGUAAAAUCUAUUAGUCCUUCACUAACACUCUGUGAAAUAUCAGAAUCACUGUCCCCCUUAGACAUGUUAAGUGUAAUCCAACACACUUCAAAACCUAUAUGAAAUCAAACGAAAAUCACUUAAUCUCUUAUACACCCUGCAAACAAACAGGUCUCUAUAUGUAGACUCAUGCAUUCUAUUUGACUUAACUUAACUCGGGGAGACGCAGUGUUAGUGUGGAUUUCUUAAAACAAUUUUAAAACUAAAAAAUUUAAAAUCCAAAGCUUUAAAAUCAAAAUCUUUGAUCUUUAAAUCAUGCUCUGAUACCACACAAAUUGUCACGACCCGGAACUCCCAUCGAGCCCGUGACAACCACCGCAACGUCCCGAUAAGCACUCAUUACCCCGAAUGCCGAUCGAAACCCCACAAGACUUAGCAUCAACUUUCGCAUCUCCCCGGUGAGCGACAGUUAUUAAAUCUCGCAUUUCAAGAAAACAUAAGUUGUUUCCAACUCAAAACAAUAAAAUAUUAUUUUCUAGCUCACAGGGGCAUUUUCGUNNNNNNNNNNNNNNNNNNNNNNNNNNNNNNNNNNNNNNNNNNNNNNNNNNNNNNNNNNNNNNNNNNNNNNNNNNNNNNNNNNNNNNNNNNNNNNNNNNNNNNNNNNNNNNNNNNNNNNNNNNNNNNNNNNNNNNNNNNNNNNNNNNNNNNNNNNNNNNNNNNNNNNNNNNNNNNNNNNNNNNNNNNNNNNNNNNNNNNNNNNNNNNNNNNNNNNNNNNNNNNNNNNNNNNNNNNNNNNNNNNNNNNNNNNNNNNNNNNNNNNNNNNNNNNNNNNNNNNNNGUAAAGUGAAAAAUUACAUUUUUACCCCAAAAACUGAAAAAUUGCCCAUAGACAUAUUUUUCAUCCCUUAUACUCAUACUAUUCUCCAAUUUGUCAAAUGUGAUCUAAAUUCUCUCAAAAUCUCAAAUUUUGUCCGCGGGUGGAAAAAUUACAAUUUUACCCCUAGAUAGUGAAAAUUUCGGUUUGACUUCGAAUUGAUCCUCAAACUCCUAAUUACCAUUUUGAGUCAUCCCUGAACUGUGAAACUCUUAAUUUCACCUUAAAAUUUCUAUUUGAACUAGUUCGAGGCUUAAUCGACUUAAUGAUACCAUUAGGGGCAAUAUCGUCUUUUAACGAUUUCUCGAACUUCCUAAAUAUACAAACAUUCUAUCGAGUAUGUGAAUGACAUUAUAAUUAUUUUACAAAGCAGGGUUUGACAUGGUGAGUGAAUACUAAUCACCUUUCAUCACUUAAUUUUCAAAACUUUUUUGACAUUUAUUAAUUAAAUUAAACUUUUACCAUACAGCCACUUAUACAAUUGAUUCCACAAACGAGAGUUUUCGCAUAUGCAUAUCCUCCUUUGGCUCCUCCAUGAUUAUAAGUGCUCAUCACUUAAAAACAUAGAUAAGAUAAUAUCAACAAAAUUACUAGACAAACAUGCACAUCCCUUCGCCUACCAAGUUGUGGCAAUAUUCAUGGUACAUGGACCAUGUGACCAUGCACGAUCGAAUUCUCCCAGCGCGGUCAAAGGUUAUUGAUCAAAAUAUUUUUCAAAAGACUUCCAAACAAGAGUUAUAAUUAAUGAAGACAAAUUCACAACAUAUCAAAGGAGAAAUAUUCCUAAUUGUAUAACAAUUAAAAACAAUAUUGAAUAAGACAAUAGAUAUGUGAUACCUCAUAAUAUUGAUUUAAUGGUAAAAUAUCAAAUACACAUCAAUGUAGAGAUUUGUAGUCAAAUUAGAGUUAUAAAAUACCUAUUCAAGUAUAUAACUAAAAAACAUGAUAGAGCACGAGUCAUUCUUGAAAACAGUAACUCCACCGCCCAACAAAGCCUAAAUACUACACAUACAUCUACCCUUAAUAAUACAAAACAAAGAUUUGUUGAGAUUGAUGAAAUAAAAACUUAUUUGGAUUACCAAUAUUUAUUAGCAUAUAAAGUAUGUUGAAGGCAUUUUGCUUUCUCGAUACACUAUAGAGAACCAACUAUUCAGAGGUUAUUCAUUCAUUUACCUGAGCAACAUAAUAUUUAUUUCAUGAUAGUGAGAGCAUAUCAAGUGUUAUACAUAGGCUAGAUAUUAAUGAAACUACUUUCAUUGAAUGGAUGGUUUGCGACCAAAUUGAUGACAAUGGUAGGCAUUUUUUGUAUGUUGAUUUUCUUGCUGAAUACGUUUGGCACCAACAAGAGUCUAAAUGGAAAAAAAAAAAAAUAUAAGGUAAAUGUAUAAGGAGAAUAAAUUAUGUCCACCCAACAGGAAGAGAACUAUAUUAUUUGCGUAUGUUGUUAAAUGUUGUUAAAGGAGCUACUAGCUUUGAACAUAUUAGAACAAUAGAUGGAAUCACUUACAAAACUUAUCAAGAAACCUAUCAAGUAUUAGGAUUGUUAGAAAAUGACCAAGAAUGGAAUGAUGCUUUAGUUUAAGCUUCUUAACAGGCUUAUAGCGAAUAAUUAAAAUAAUUAUUCAUGAUUAUUAUUAUGUUUUAAGAAGUAGCAAAUCUUGUUAACCUUUGGCAUGCUAAUUGGAAACUUUUUUAUGAUGAUAUUCAAUAUAAAAUAAAAUAUACUUUUGGAAAUUUACAUUAUACAAUUCUUGAAAAUGAUCUGAAAAAUUAUGUAUUAAUUGUUUUAGAAGAUCUUUUCAACAAAAAUUGUACUUCGUUGUUUGAAUUUGGGUUACCUAUGCCAAACCAACGAGAUGUCAUUCAUGAUUAAGAUAGAUUAAUACAUGAAGAAAUGAAUUAUGACUUACUUGAACUCCAACAAUUACAUUUACAAUUAAUUGCUAACUUAAAUCCUGAACAAAAACAAAUCUAUCAAUGUGCAAAACAAUCAAUUGACAAUAAUGAGCCCCAAAUGAUAUUCUUGUAUGAUUGUGGUGGUAUAGGGAAAACCUACCUAUGAAACGCAAUCAUAUCAGGCAUAAGAUUAGUAGAAAAAAUAAUUUUAACUAUUGCAUCUUUUGGUAUUAUAUCUUUAUUAUUACUUGUAGGCAAGAUUGCUCACUCUAGAUUCAAAAUACCUCUUGACAUAAAUGAAUGUUCUACAUGUCAAAUAAAAAAGGAACAUAACUAGCAAGAUUAGUUGAAGCCUGUAGUUUAAUAGUUUGGGAUGAAACACCUAUGGUGAAUAGAUUUUGUUUUAGUUUUAAAUAAAACUUUAAGAGAUGUGCUGAACAAUAAUAGUAAUGACAGUAUUGACAAACCUUUUAGGGGAAAAAUCAUUUUAUUAAGAGGACACUUUAGGCAGAUACUUCCUGUUGUUCAAUUUGGUCACAGAACAAACAUUAUCAACGUUGCAAUCAACCAAUCAACAAAAUGUUCUACAUGUAAGGUGUUUAGGUUGAAAACUAACAUAAGGUUAUUAAGGCUUGACAUAACAAAAUAAUCAAGAAAAGAAAUUGAAAGCUUUGCCCAAUGGUUAUUAGAUGUUGGUGAUAGAAAGAUACGAUCAUCAACAAUACAGCAAAAUUGAUGAUGACUUUGAUUGUUUGCCAUUACCAACUGAUUUGUUAGUCCUAAUAAUAGAUGAUCCAAUAAAAGAUAUCCUUAGUUUUGUUUAUGAUAGAUUUAAAAAUUUCUAUGCAGAUCUAGAAUAUCUUAAGCCGAGAACCAUAGUGACAUCCUAUAAUGAAACAAUUGACUUAGUUAACACACACGCUUGUAGUUUAAUACUAGCUGAUACAAAAAGCUAUUUUAGCCAUGACUAUAUAUCUCAAGCAAUUGAUCAGGUUUCAAACCAUCAAUUACUAUACCCGAUAAAACUUCUCAACUCAUUAAAAUUUCGUGGUUUACCUGAUCAUGCCUUUCAUUUGAAAGUUGGUGUUGUAGUCAUGUUACUUAAAAAUAUUAACCAAUAUUCUGGUAUGUGUAAUGGAACAAGAUUAAUUAUUACACAAUUAGCUCCUAAUAUUAUUGCAGGCAAAAUUAUCUUCGCAGGAAAAACAAAUAACAAAUACUUUAUUCCACGAAUCUUUUUUACAGCGAAACAUCAUAAAUAGCCAUUUGUUUUCAUAAGAAAACAAUUUCUUAUUAAACUAUCUUAUGCUAUUACAAUUAACAAAAGUCAAGGACAAACCCUAUAGAAAAUUCGCAUAUACUUACCGAAACUUGUUUUUACACAUGGUCAAUUAUAUGAUGUCCUUUCCAGAGUAACAUUUAGAAAUGGGUUACAUAUCUUAGCGACGGAUGAAAAAGGCUUGGUUGUUUGCAAAAAAACGUUGUAUUUGUAGAAAUUUUUGAUAAUUUAGUUUCACAUUUGUUUCAUUAUUUUAUUACAAAAAAUUGCUUAUUUAUGUUUUGCAGUGAUUCCUCUUUUUCCUAGCUAAACUUAUGAAUUGUCAAACAGUUUUCUUUUUUUUUUUUGGCAUCUAAUCUUAUUCUUAUCAAAUAUUAUUCUUAUCAAUGAGGUACUACUCAAACUUUUUCAAUUGAUUGCAACGUUUGAAUACAUCACUCAUUAAUUAUUUUUUCAAGUUAAAGAUGUCAUACCAACAUCUACACAAUUUACGUCCAUUCCAGCAAAGAAUAUCUGUAAAGCUGAGGAUCAUUCAUAUUUGGUAAUCAAUUGAUCCCUCUCGACUUGACAGAUUACUUAACAUUGAUUUCUUGGCUACUAAUGCUUAGGUAUAGAAAUUUAUGUCAUACUUUUACCAUUAACCACUAUAUUUGAAAUAAGUUAAUGUUAAACUCAUUUUCUAACAUUGGCUAAUCACUAACUUCCUUAGAAAUUUGUAAACACAGAGAUGCAAUGCAUUUCAUGAUCAAGACUUCCAAUGCACCACAGUUUCAGUCUCAAUUGAAGGAAGGAUGUCUCCGUUGAAUCAAAAAUUUUCAAAUUAAUGACCAAAAAACUUCUUUCAAUUUUAUUCCUUCAAAUAUAACGUGCAUCUUUACAAAAGAAAAAAACACUAUCAUCCAACCAAAUUAUUGUUAAUUUUACACACACAAUAAUACAUAUUGAACAAGUAAUAUAAUGAUGAAGUAAAGUAUCGUUCUCACGGAGAUUUAUUCUUAAAUUUUUACUAAGUACUAAAAUCUUAUAACAAAUCAAUCUUAUUUAAGUAAUCAAAAUUUACAGAAAAUUAAUUAAAAUAAACACUAAAUUAAGUAACAAACUAAAUAGGUUGAGAAAAGUAGUAUAUUAAAGACCUAGGAUUAUGAGUUCAUUUAACAUUUCAUCUAAUACAAACUUUUCUUGUUAUUUAUCUUUCUUGAGUGGUUUUACUAACCUAGAAUUUAAAGCUAUGGACAAGUCUCCGUUGAGUUGCUUGUACAAAUACCUAACUUAAUUAGUUCAAUAUAUGGCUAUAGGAAUCAAUUAAAUUAAGUUCAUUAAGCAAAUGUCUUAAUGUGGCUAUGAAUGGCAAUUGGCGUAUGUCUACUCAAAUCGUGAAUCAGAUCACCUAAGUGACGUGAACAUACACUAUUCAAAAUUUAGUCUAAUCCAAAAUCUCUCUGUUGAGUCUCAAUUAGAUUCAUAAAUCAGUUAAUUAUUGGUCAAGCAAUCAAAAGCAUUAAGAACAGAUUUGAAUAAGCAAAACUACACUCAUUCAUGAUAAAUAAAAAAGAAACUAAUAUUCAAACUACAUUUUGAAAUUCACCACAAUCUUAGAAAGAUAAUUUAGCUCAUAAUAACUAAUAGAAACAACAUCUAAAGAAAUUUAGUCAUGAAUCUAAGUCAAAGAAAAUAAAAAAAACACACAAGUAGAGAAAGAAACUAAGUGUUGAAGCUUUGCAAUCUCAAUUCUCUUUCAAAUUCUCUUGUUUUCUUGCUUUGUUCUUGACUUCAAAUCUCCAAAAUAGUUGGUUGCUACCUCCUACUUAAAAUCUUUGAAAAAGGUCCCUUAAAUAGGCUCAAAGUAACCUAAUUUCUAAAAUCUUAUCAACUUUUUAUUUUUUAAAAAUCACACAGCGUUGCGGCGCUACUUCUUUAGCGCUGCAAUGCUAAACUCUUGGGGAAAUGUGGUGUGCUUCCUUUCACCAGCGCUGCAGCCUUGUUCUCUUGGUGUUGCGACGGCCUAUCAAUUUGAACAUGUUUUCACCUUGAUCUGAUCAGAAAUGGGUAAAGUUAUAGCCAUGCAAGUUUUAGUCCUGUCUCUUAGAUUUUCAAUGGCUCAAGAAUCAUGUCAAUUGGACAUCGGGAUUGAAAGAUAAGCUCCAAAUACCGCAUCAUGUUCAGUCCAUGUAUGCUGCUGCAAUGCUCUAACUUAGACAAAUAUUUUGACCAUGAUCCAAUUUGAACUAGAAAAGUAGUCAACAUAAAAGUUGUAGCACUUCCUUUUAGCAUUCUAGUGGUUUAAGAAGCACUUCAUUUGGAGUUCUUUAGAGUUUAUUUGGAGUUCUUUAUAGAGAGAUAUGGUCAAAACACCGCAAUAUAUAUGAAUAAAAUCAUCACCAUACUUGCACGGAUUUUUAUCAAAUAAGCCUUUUUCAUCUAAUUUCUUACAAAAGCAAUAAAAGAAACCAGCAAUAACUACUCUUAAAGUAAUUUAAAACAAAAUAACAUAAAAUUUAACUAAAGUGACUCAAAUUAAUUAUUCAACAAGUAAUCAAACUUAAACUAGAAAAACACCUAAAAUGCUAAAAUUCGAAUAUAAAAUCUCAAAGAUAUAGCUACUUAAGCCUCUAAAACGUAUCAAAAAAACUCUAUAUAAUAGAGUUAUCACACCCCCAAGCUUAAGAUUUUGCUAGUCCUCGAGCAAAACAUAAAAUAAAUGCAGUAACAUAAAUAAAGAAAAUAACUUAACUAGAAAUCAAUUGCACCACUUCAACAAUCAUCUUUAAUAUCCUCAAAAGUUAAUCUAAAUUCUCAACUCCAAACAACACAUAAAUAUCAUUCAAGUUCAUGUUUUAAUUCAAAUGCAAGUUUAUCGUUAAGUGGAUUUCCAUGUGUGUGUCUACAAUCUUUUCACCUAGAACAUUAUACAAUAUGGAUAAGUUUAUAUUCAUGUAAAAUUCAAAUUAGUAACUAACUCCAUAAAUUUGCUUUUCAUCUCUCUCCACUAAUGUAGGCUAAUACUAUGUUAAAAAUCAAUAGGACUUUAAUUAGUUUGUAAUGUAUGGCUAGGGUUAAGGUUGGAUAUGUGAUAAUGUAUAGUUUAAAUCACCCUAAGCACACAGUCAAUCUAGAACCUAUUCAGAGCUUUAUUUUCCUUUACCUAGUAUACCCUUUUUCCAACAACCUUUUUCUUUUAUUCAACACUUCAUUCUUUCUUUCCCUUUUUCUUUUUCUCAAUUUCACACCCACAAACUUAUUUCUUUUAUUGGGUAGUGAGAUGAAUACAAUCAUAUUUUUGAACUUUUUAUCAUUUUUAUUCUUCUUAACUACCUCUUUCACUAUAUAGCUCAUAACACAUCCUAAAUUGACUUGUUCACUUAGGAAUGAAGGAUGCAAGAAUUGUUGAAAAUAUUAAUAUAAGGGUUUAGGCUAAAAAUUAAGUGUUCAAACAAAGAAAAGAUGUUAUUAGGCUCAAAGAGCGAAACUAAAGAUAAUUUAUGUAAAGGAAGGCUACAAAAGGCUCAAUCGAUUCAAAAAUGGUAUAAAUCAUCUCCUUAACUAAGUAUAGCCUAGAAUUUCACCUCGAGAGAGAAUCAAACAAAUUCUAAAACUUAAUACAUAAUUCAAAAUUUUCACAUUCACAUAAACCUUCUCUAAAUAUACACAAUAAAUCUGAACAAAAGACAUAGUGCUCAAAAUGUAGAAAUUUCAACCUAACAGUAAAGCUUAGCAUGAAAUUUACAUAGCACUUAAAACAUAUUCACAUGUUUCGAAAUCAAGAUAGGAAUAUAACUGAAUUCUCAUCAUUGGAUGAGUAAAUUAAACAAAACUAGCACAAUUGAAGCUAGUUCAAAUGCAAAUGCACAUGCAUAAAAAAAAAUUUAACAAAAAUAAACUAACAUAAACUAUCACAAAAACUAAUAACAAUAAAACCCUUCCCCAAACUUAAAUUGCACAUUGUCCCUAAUGUGAAAAGCUAAAAAGAAUGAGAAAAAGAAACUCCCCUAUUAAUGGUGACAGUGCAUUAAAAACUCUAAUUUUCUUUCACCUUAUCUUCAUGCUUUCCAAACCUAUGGACUUAACAAACAAGGUAAGGAGAGGUUAUUACUACAUAUUUAAAUAGAAAACAAAAGCUAACUAACAUAACAACUAAAACUAAAAAGAUAGAGCCUUGGAUUGCUUCCUAAGAAACGCUUCUUUAUAGUCACUAGCUUAACUAUGAUACCUCCUUUUUGUUAUCUACGAAAGUACCUAAGGAUAUUUGACAAUCCAAUUCACCUCCCAAGUAAUGCUGGAGACAUUACCCAUUCACUCCAAAUGUUCUAGUAGCAUCACUAAAAAUAUCUAUUACACUACAUGAAUAUACCUUAACCACCUUAUAAGGACGUGACCACUUUGAUUUUUGUUUCCAUGGAAGGAGCUUGACUGAUUUGGUCAGUAGCACUUGUUGUCCCACCUUAAAAUCAAGAUUAAUUGAAGGUAAUGGAUCAUGCUCAUUAUAACACUAUUUAGUUUUGAGCUGUGGUGGUGGUGAAUUUAAUUCAAGAAUUGAUGCUUGUUUACUUGUAGGUGGUGGAGUAGGAUUCCUUGAUCUUUAUCAGUUAAAUCCACUUUAUAGUAAUGAGCUGUGGUUGAAGUACUCUUAGUUGCAUUGUAAAUAGUAAAUUCAGCUACAUUCUCUCCAACUUUGAAAUUUAUUUUGCCUUCCUUUACAUCUAUUAGUGCGCCUGCAGUGGCUAAGAAUGAACGUCUUAUUAUGAUCGAAACUUUUUGAUCCUCCUCUAUCUCAAGUACUAUGAAGUUUACUGGAAUGAACAAUUUCCCAACUUUAAGUAAGACAUCUUUUAUCACCCCACAGAGGUGCCUUAUCGUUUUGUCAGCUAGUUGUAAGGUGAUUGUAGUGGGUUGAAUCUCCUUCAGUCCAAUUCUCUUAGCAACAAACAAAGGCAUAAUUGAGACACCAUCACCUAAAUCACACAAAGCUUUUGAAAAAUUAAAAUUACCAACUGAGCAAGGGAUAGAAAAACUCCCUAGGUCCUUAAGCUUUAGUGGAAGCUUGUUCUGGAUUAUUGCAUUACACUCCUCAGUGAGUAUAAUUGUCUCAAAGUCCUCCAAUUUCCUCUUAUUUGUCAAUAUAUCCUUCAGAAACUUCACAUAUGAUGGCAUUUGCUUUAAAGGUAUUGCAAAAGGAAUGUUAAUGUGAAGCUUUUUAAAUACCUCAAGAAAUAUUUGGAUGUGCUUAUCAAGCUUUUGUUUCUGAAGGCGAUGAGGGAAGGUGGUGGUGGUAAAGUUGUCUUUGCUUCCUUCUCUUGACUUUGGUUGUCACUUGUCUCAAUCACCGUUUUAUUCUCAACAGGCUCAUCUUGAUAAUUAGCUUGCCUAACACUAUGUUUAACCUUUUUUUCGCUCAUUAGGGUGAUUGCCAUAACUUGUUCCUUACCUUCUCUCCUUGAAUUCACCUCUGUAUCACUAGGCAAUGUUCCUUAAUGUCGAUUGUUUAAUAAAUUAGCAAGUUGACCAACUUGAGUCUCAAGGUUUCAAAUUGAUGCUACUUGCCUUUGAAUGAGAACUGUUUGACUUUGUAUAAUGUUAUCAUUCUAGGUCAUGUACCGCCUUAGCAAAUCUUCCACAGUUGGCUUCUUUUUCGAAUAGAAGCACUGACUUGCUAGUGAAAUGCUAGAUGUGCAUUUGGCCUUGGAGUUGAGGACAAACCUUGAUUAUUAGCCUAAGAGAAAUUGGGAUGAUUCCUCCAUCCUGGGUUGUAAGUGUUGGAAUAGGGCUUAUUCUGCUGUCUAUUACCCAUAAAUUGCACUGCCUCUAUUGAGCUUGGACACUAAUGACUUGCAUGAUUAUCUUUACAUAACUCACAAGCUAUAAAAGGACUUUGCAAACUAUUAAUACCAAAAGAUUCAAGAGUUUUAGUUAAAGUUGUUCUUUGAGCGGAUAACACUGAAAAUGCAUCUACAUCAUGAAUUCUAACUACUCUCUUAUGCAUUAAUCGCUCCACUAGCCACUGGUAGUUGUUUGUAACAAUCUCUUCCAACAAAUUGUAUGCUUCAUGAAUCGAUUUAGCCAUCAAAGCUCCUUCUACUGCAACAUCAAUGGUAGUUCGAACAUGCCCAUUCAAACCAUUGUAGAAAGUUUGCAUCUAAAGCCACUUUGGAAGCCCAUGAUGAGGACACCAUUGAGGUAAUCCUUUAUAUCUUUCCCAAGCCUCGUACAAUGAUUCAAAAUCUUACUGUAUGAAUGAUGUGAUAUCAUUCCUCAUUUUUGCUGUCUUAGCUAAAGGAAAAAACUUGGCAAGGAAAUUCUGAGUGAGAUCAUCCCAUGUUGUUAUUGAGCUAGUGGGGAGCGCAUUCAACCAUGCUUUAGCUUUAUCCCUUAAUGAGAAGGGAAAAAAGCCUCAACCAAAUUGCAUCAUCUGUGACACCAUUGUGCUUGAACGUGUCACAAAUCUCCAAGAGGUUUUAAUAUAUGGCCAUUUGGAUCAUCACUUGGAAGACCCCCAAACUGAACCGAUGUUUAAAUCAUGGUGAUGAUAACUGGCUUGAUUUCAAAUUGUUUGCUUGAAUAGCUAGCCUUCGAAUGCUCGAUGGAAUUCCUCGUACGAAAGGAACAACAUAAUCCCUUAAGUAACGAUUGUCAACUACUACACGUUCUUAGAUUUACUGUUCACUCUGUUGGUCAGCCAUUGUAUUUACUAGAGCAACACCUUGUUAAUUUUCUCAUCAAACUCUGCGAAAUGUUUGCUCAAUUUCUGGAUCACCCAGGAUAGUCUCCAAGUUGUUUGCUUUUCUCAUACAACAGCUGAACACAACUACAAAACAAAAAUAAACUUAAAUUAAGACUAAUCUGUAAAAUUUUAAUAUUAGCAAAUAAGAAAGAAAACAUAAUCCCAACCAAUAGUGCCAAAACCUUGUUGUCGAUUUUGCAUACGCAAGUGUACGUAUUGAACAAGUAAUAUAGUGAAGAAGUAGAGUAUUGUUUCCAUGAAGAUUUGUUCCUAAAUUUUUAUUAAGUACUAAAAUCUUAUAGCAAAUCAAUCUUAUUUAAGUAAUCAAAAUUUACAAAAAAUUAAUAAAAAUAAAAUUAAAAUAAACACUAAAUUAACUAACAAACUAAAUAGGUUGAGAAAAUUAGUAUAUUAAAGAACUAGGAUUAUGGAUUCAUUCAACAUUUCAUCUGAUACUAGCUUUUCUUGUUAUUUAUCUAUCUUGGGUGGUUUUACUAACCUAGAAUCCAAAGCUAUGAACAAGUCUUCGUCAAGUUACUUGUACUAAUACCUAACUUAAUUAGUUCACUAUAUGUUUAUAGGAAUCAAUUAAAUUAAGUUCAUCAAGUGUCCUAAUGUGGCUAUGUAUGGCAAUUGACGUAUGCCUACCCGAAUUGCGAAUUAGAUCACCUAAGUGAUGUGAACAUAUACUAUUCAAAUCUUAGUCCAAUCUCAAAUCUCUCUAUCGAGUCUCAAUUAGAUUCACAAAUCAAUUAAUUGUUGGACAAGUAAUCAAAAACAUCAAUACAGAUUUGAAUAAGCAAAACUACACCCAUUCAUGAUAAACAAAAAAGAAACUAAUAUUUAAACUAUAUGUUGAAAUCCACCACAAUCCUAGAAAGAUAAUUUAGCUCAUAAUAACUAAUAAAAACAACAUCCAAAGAAAUUUAGCCAUCAAUCCAAAUCAAAGAAAAUAAAAGAAACAUAAAAGUAGAGAAAGAAACUAAGGGUUGAAGCUUUGCAAUCUCAAUUCCUUCUCAAAUUCUCUUGUUUUCUUACUUUGUUCUUGACUCCAAAUCUCAAGAAUAGUUGGUUAUUGCCUCCCUCUUAAAAUCUCUAAAAAAAGUCUUUUAAAUAGGAUCCAAGUAAUCUAAUUUCCAAAAUCUCUUCAACUUUUUAUUUUUGAAAAAUCACCCAAUGUUGCGACACUACUUCUUCAGUGCUGAGGCACUGAGCUUUGGGGAAAAUGUGGUGUGCCUUCUUUCACCAGCGUUGCAGCCUUGUUCUCCCAAUGUUGCGGCAGUUUCUCAACUUUGAUCGUGUUUUCACCUUGAUCUGAUUCAAACUGAGCAAAAUAUGUCAAGCCUGACUCUACAAUAUGUUUAUUAUACCAUUCUUACAUAAGAAUGCAUGUUUGCUUACUUGGGUACCUCGAAAAUCGUUAAAGAACGGCAAUGUACCAAAUGGUACAAUUAAGUUGAAUUAAGUCUCGAACUAGUCCAAAUAAAGAUUUUAAAAUGAAAUUGAGAAUUUUAAAACCCUAGAAUGACUUAAAAUGGUGAUUUAGAGUUCGAAGACCGAUUUGAAGUCAAAUUGAAAUUUUCAUGACCUAGGGGCAAAAUGGUUAUUUUUUCACCCGAGGUUAAGAUGUGAGUGUUGGAUGAAAUUUUUGACUAAGAUUGAUCAUUUGGAGUAUAAUUUGAGUUUCAGAAGUGAAGAAUUUUAAUUUUUACAUUUUUUCGAGGAUAAGGGCAAAAUAGUCAUUUUGCCACCUUAUGGGUAAAAUUGUAAUUUUACACCAACCAACACUUGUCAUGCCCAUGGAUUUCAGCCAUUAGCAUUUUAUAUCAUGGAUAAUUAAAGGAUUUUAUGUGGUGGUGGAAGAAAGCUUAAUUAUUAAGUUUUUAAACAUGGACUAAUAACAUGGUGACAAGUGUCAAGCUUGGAUUAUUUUAUUAUUUGGCUUUAAAAAUCAGCCCAUAACCCUCCCAACUCAUUUAUCUUGGUCGACCAAAGAGAGAAAAGAGAAAAAAGGAAGAACAAAAAUCCUAGAGAGAAAAAUUUAGAGGGAAAUUGUUGAUUUUCAAUGAAUCAAGCCAUUAAAGGUAAAAUUUCUUAAUUCUAGCUUGUGAUCUACCUUUCCUAUGCAUUAUUUUGCAUUUUUCAUGGUUGAAUCACAAGAUAUCAUAAAGGAUAGUGCGCUGAUCAAACCUUAGGAGAGAGAAUUUGAUGAUAAAUUUAGUUAGAAAACAUGUUAUUCUAGUAUUUUUAGUUGUUUGGUGAUGUGUAGUAUGAAAAGCAAGAAAGAAAAAUUCAUGUUCUUACAUCACCUUCAUUGGCCGAAUAUUCCAUGUGGAAUAUUGAUGAUGAAUUUGAUUAAAUUUCAAGUGAUUUGAUUAGGAAUGAAUGAUUUAUGAUGUGAGAAUCAAGCAUGAAAAAUUAUAUUGUUAGUGCACUCACCAUGGUCGAAUUUUUCAAGAGAAAAUGUGAGGAUGAUUUUGCCACAUUUCAAGUUAUUUAAAUUGUGUUUAAUGAUUUGGAGUAUUGGGAGAGAAAUGGAAUUGUUUGGAGUUGAAUUGGACGUAUUGGUCAAUUAAUCGGGUGAUAGAUCGAAUUAGGCCAAUACCAUUUUAUUUAGGUACAUAAUUGAAUUUAUAUUGAACACUGUAUUUAGAUAGUUACCCGAAUAUUUCACAUCCCAUUUCAUGCAUUAGUAUAGAGCCUGAAUUGAUUUUACAACGAUUUAGCACAAAUGUAGCAAAUUGCUUAUUGUGCAUUAUGUCUAGGUGGUGAGUAUUCUGGCAAGAGUAAAAAGGUAGUAUUCGAGGAUCCAGAAUCAAAGUAUCCCGAAUUCGAUUCCCAUUAUAGUUAGUAACCUUAUUAUCGUCUUAAUUAUCUAAAGUAUGUUUUUUUUAUCCAAUUUUGUAAUUUUAUGAAAAAUGUGUUUAAAUGAAAUGAUUUUAUAAAUUGUUUUGAAAUUUAAUGAUGACUUGCAAAUGGAGUAAUUGGAGACUACUUGCUGUUUUGUAAAUUAUGUUUUGAAUUGAAUGGCUUAUGAUAAUGUGGGCAUGAAUGGCUGGAUGAGAAUUUGUGUUGAAAAUGUAUAAACUGUUGUUUGCCUUGAUAGGCUGGAUAAUGAUAAAAUUAUCAUGUCAUGCUGUUGAAUUUUUAUUGAAUUAAUGGGUUAUAGAUUGGUCACUGCAGUGUCGGGUUCUGUGGACCAACCUUUUUGAGGGGUACGAAAUUCGGGUAUAUUCUAUCCUCGGUUGAGGAGGCACGUAGGGUAAUUCCUGAGAUAAAACUUUAGAGUUCACCUCACGCUGAACCACCACGUGAGGGUGAACUCAGCUAACGCCAAGUAACGGCUAUAUUUUCAAAAUAAAAACAUGAUUUAUACGUACAUGACUUUUUAACAACCUUGGCGGACUCCGUUGGGAUAGCCUUAGGCCAAGGUAUCCCUAACAACUGAGUAUGAAAAUGAUUUUGGCACGAGCAAAGCUUUUCAAGAAAUCAUAAGCCUCGUUGUUUAUUUGGGUGAAAUGAAUCUAUUUUAUCUUAUUAAAAUGAGUUCGAAAUGUUGUGAAUCAUUUUUAUACUAAUCUAUUUUAUCUGUCUCCAUUUACUCAGCUUUAGAUAUUUUAGAUGAUAUUUGUUUACUCACUGGGAUUAUAUAAUCUCAUCACCUUUCUUUCCACCUAUUUCAGGUUCAGGAUAGUCGGUAGAUAGCUCAUUUCGUUGAGGGCUACAGUUGGACUUGCAUUCUCAAAAACUGUAGGUUCACAGCCUUCAUUACUUUUAGUCAUUCAAGGGCCCACAUGUC